Molecule: ribosomal RNA, 497 nt
Filed under: uncultured bacterium
Lineage: Bacteria
Description: partial 16S ribosomal RNA
Rfam family: Bacterial small subunit ribosomal RNA
Source: RNAcentral
GAUGAACGCUGGCGGCGUGCCUAAUACAUGCAAGUCGAGCGAACGGACGAGAAGCUUGCUUCUCUGAUGUUAGCGGCGGACGGGUGAGUAGCACGUGGAUAACCUACCUAUAAGACUGGGAUAACUUCGGGAAACCGGAGCUAAUACCGGAUAAUAUUUUGAACCGCAUGGUUCAAAAGUGAAAGACGGUCUUGCUGUCACUUAUAGAUGGAUCCGCGCUGCAUUAGCUAGUUGGUAAGGUAACGGCUUACCAAGGCAACGAUGCAUAGCCGACCUGAGAGGGUGAUCGGCCACACUGGCACUGAGACACGGUCCAGACUCCUACGGGAGGCAGCAGUAGGGAAUCUUCCGCAAUGGGCGAAAGCCUGACGGAGCAACGCCGCGUGAGUGAUGAAGGUCUUCGGAUCGUAAAACUCUGUUAUUAGGGAAGAACAUAUGUGUAAGUAACUGUGCACAUCUUGACGGUACCUAAUCAGAAAGCCACGGCUAACUACGUG